UGGGGAAUUUUACGCAAUGGGGGAAACCCUGACGUAGCGACACCGCGUGAGCGAAGAAGCCUUUUGGGGUGUAAAGCUCUGUCAGCUGGAACGAACACAAUGACGGUACCAGCAGAGGAAGCAUCGGCUAACUACGUGCCAGCAGCCGCGGUAAGACGUAGGAUGCAAGCGUUGUCCGGAUUCAUUGGGCGUAAAGAGUUCGUAGGUGGUCUGUUAAGUUUGGUGUUAAAGAGCGGGGCCCAACCCCGAUAGUGCACUGAAUACUGGCAGACUUGAGUGCGGUAGAGGUAAGUGGAAUUCCAAGUGUAGCGGUGAAAUGCAUAGAUAUUUGGAAGAACACCGGUGGCGUAAGCGACUUACUGGGCCGUAACUGACACUGAGGAACGAAAGCCGGGGUAGCGAAU
RNAcentral lists this ribosomal RNA (404 nucleotides) under uncultured bacterium. RNAcentral's name for it is "bacterial SSU rRNA". It matches the Rfam family "Bacterial small subunit ribosomal RNA", at positions 355 to 773 of the family's 1533-position model. The record is from RNAcentral.